AGUGAAGCACAUAAACCUGCUGAAUUUAAGCAUAUAAGUAAGUGGUGGAAAUUAAACCAAAUGGGAUUUCUUUAGUAAUUGC
Molecule: ribosomal RNA, 82 nt
Filed under: Alexandrium tamarense
Lineage: Eukaryota; Dinophyceae; Gonyaulacales; Pyrocystaceae
Description: partial Eukaryotic large subunit ribosomal RNA
Rfam family: Eukaryotic large subunit ribosomal RNA
Source: RNAcentral